AGUCGAGCGAGCAAUUUUAACGGAAUACCUUCGGGUAGGAAGAUAAAAGCGCGAGCGGCGGAUGGGUGAGUAACACGUGGGCAACCUGCCCUUUAGCUUGGGAUACCACUUGGAAACAGGUGCUAAUACCAAAUAAGAAGCAAGAGCGCAUGCUCAAGCUAUGAAAGGCGGCUUUCGAGCUGUCACUAAAGGAUGGGCCCGCGGUGCAUUAGCUAGUUGGUAAGGUAACGGCUUACCAAGGCAAUGAUGCAUAGCCGGGUUGAGAGACUGAUCGGCCACAUUGGGACUGAGACACGGCCCAAACUCCUACGGGAGGCAGCAGUAGGGAAUCUUCCACAAUGGACGCAAGUCUGAUGGAGCAACGCCGCGUGAGUGAAGAAGGUUUUCGGAUCGUAAAGCUCUGUUGUUGGUGAAGAAGGAUAAGGAUAGUAACUGAUUCUUAUUUGACGGUAAUCAACCAGAAAGUCACGGCUAACUACGUGCCAGCAGCCGCGGUAAUACGUAGGUGGCAAGCGCUGUCCGGAUUUAUUGGGCGUAAAGCGAACGCAGGCGGGAGAACAAGUCAGCUGUGAAAGCCCUCGGCUUAACCGGGGAAGUGCAGCUGAAACUGUUUUUCUUGAGUGCAGAAGAGGAGAGUGGAACUCCAUGUGUAGCGGUGGAAUGCGUAGAUAUAUGGAAGAACACCAGUGGCGAAGGCGGCUCUCUGGUCUGUAACUGACGCUGAGGUUCGAAAGCAUGGGUAGCGAACAGGAUUAGAUACCCUGGUAGUCCAUGCCGUAAACGAUGAGUGCUAAGUGUUGGGGGGUUUCCGCCUCUCAGUGCUGCAGCUAACGCAUUAAGCACUCCGCCUGGGGAGUACGACCGCAAGGUUAAAACUCAAAGGAAUUGAC
Molecule: ribosomal RNA, 890 nt
Filed under: uncultured bacterium
Lineage: Bacteria
Description: bacterial SSU rRNA
Rfam family: Bacterial small subunit ribosomal RNA
Source: RNAcentral